This 529-nucleotide ribosomal RNA is filed under the name Alteromonas sp. RNAcentral's name for it is "bacterial SSU rRNA". It matches the Rfam family "Bacterial small subunit ribosomal RNA", at positions 382 to 903 of the family's 1533-position model. Lineage: Bacteria; Pseudomonadati; Pseudomonadota; Gammaproteobacteria; Alteromonadales; Alteromonadaceae. The record is from RNAcentral.
CCUGAUGCAGCCAUGCCGCGUGUGUGAAGAAGGCCUUCGGGUUGUAAAGCACUUUCAGUUGUGAGGAAAAGUUAGUAGUUAAUACCUGCUAGCCGUGACGUUAACAACAGAAGAAGCACCGGCUAACUCCGUGCCAGCAGCCGCGGUAAUACGGAGGGUGCGAGCGUUAAUCGGAAUUACUGGGCGUAAAGCGCACGCAGGCGGUUUGUUAAGCUAGAUGUGAAAGCCCCGGGCUCAACCUGGGAUGGUCAUUUAGAACUGGCAGACUAGAGUCUUGGAGAGGGGAGUGGAAUUCCAGGUGUAGCGGUGAAAUGCGUAGAUAUCUGGAGGAACAUCAGUGGCGAAGGCGACUCCCUGGCCAAAGACUGACGCUCAUGUGCGAAAGUGUGGGUAGCGAACAGGAUUAGAUACCCUGGUAGUCCACACCGUAAACGCUGUCUACUAGCUGUGUGUGUCUUUAAGACGUGCGUAGCGAAGCUAACGCGCUAAGUAGACCGCCUGGGGAGUACGGCCGCAAGGUUAAAACUCA